GUGUGUGUGUGUGUGUGUGUGUGUGUCGAGGAUUAUCCUGUUUGAGCACAAGUCCUUUAAGGUCACAAAUAAAAGGUUUCUGCUUUCUGACGCUUUUUGCUCUCACAGCUGGGAAAUCCAAAAGCCCAGAACCUUCCUCCAUCCUGUGGUGAUCAGGAUAUGAAUAAUUCUCUGAUCAUUAAGUGUGAUUCAGGGGUCUUCAUUGACAAUUAUGGAGCGGCUCCAGUGAGCUUUUGUUAAUUGUAUGAUGUAUAAUGAAAUGAAUGUGAUGACUGAGUGCAGUAAUGACAGCAGUGGAGUGGAUGGUCAGUGUUAAAGUCUGUAGUCUCCAGUGGAGUACAGCUGUUUUUACCUCCAUUACUCCCUUCAUUAGCUCUCUAGUUUCCCGUCUAUCUCUCCCCCUUUUCUACUUUCUUUCUCUCAACAGCCAUCAAAUUAGACUCACCACUGCUUAACCAUAACCCCGUCUCUCCCUCUCUGUCCGUCACUCACCCUCUCUUAACCCAUUUUUUCCUGUCUCGCCUACUUCUCGAAGGCUCUCAAAUUAAAUUCACCUCUCUGUUAGUGUCUGGCCUCUCUCCUUCAUUGCAUUUCUCUGCAGACAGUCUGAUGAGCUCAGACAAAAAAAACAGAGAUUUUGGAGUCAUUUUCAUUUACUCCCCAAGUUUUCAAUUCUCACUCAUUUCAGCCAGUCUCCCUCUUUGUGUCUUUUCCUGCAACACCUCACCUUUGUGCUAUUUUCGCACAUAGCACCUUUUCCCAUCUUUCUCUCACUUAUUGUCAGGUCUCAGAAAAAGAGAUUUAAAACAGAUUACAACCACAUCUGUGAUUUCCAAUUAUGUUCAAGUUAUUAACAGCGAAGCAUAAUCGAUGUAACGGCAAAUUAUGGAUCUGACACUUCAUUAGAUUAUAGAGUGAGCCUUCACUGGAUUUGUUUUAUCCCUCUCCUGUCUGCUGCCAGGUCCUUCCAGACAUGAGCUGCUGUUUUCAGAGACAUGGAGGUUCUUUCUCAGGUUUCAUGUCUUCGUUAUCUUCAUGUGUUUCAAGGUUUGAUGAUAUGGAAUCCUUUAACAUUCCCAUGCAGUCGUGAUUAAUCUCACCACGAUAAAAAAAAGGGACAAACUAUAUCUCUGAGUCAUUCCAUCAUGAAAUAUUACACCUUUUUUCUUCAUAAUCAGUAAGGAAAUCACAGGACUGUUGAGCUCAAUAAACUGGCUGUACAGCAGCUAGUUAAACUUUACCAUCAGAUCCUGUUAUAUUUGGACUUCCCUGCUCUAUUUGUUUAUAUUCAUAGCAAUACACCUCUUUUAAAGUUAGGUGUUAGAUCUGGUCUGUGCUAAGCGAUCCAUCGUACUCUAGUGUCAGGCAAAAUUAGAGGCUGUGCCUAUCUGCUGUGGAUUGCCAGAGCAGAGACAGACUGAACUCAGAUCUGGUGGAAAAAUGGCAGGUAGUGUCAUGGUUGACGAGAAGCUGAUUUAAUUUGUUUUAAUUUUCGCUUUUCUCUAACUCUUUUUGGAUCAGCUGGAUAAUAAUGUGUUGAUGCUUGAAAGAGCUCUGUUCAGAAAACUUCAUAACUCAACUGUUAAGAUCCUAUUUUUUUUGUGAUGCCAUAUCAUCAGCAAAUGAUAGAUACAAACAUUACUAGUCCUCUACAUGUCAGCACCAUAGACUGUAUGUAGAAUGGACGCCGUCUGCCCUCCUCCACCCCGAGAACAGCACCCUCUGGUGACGGGCUGUUGUAUAGGUCAUAACUCCCC
Non-coding RNA from Xyrichtys novacula (pearly razorfish), 1757 nucleotides. The record is from the annotation of a GenBank genome assembly. NCBI's taxonomy places the organism in Eukaryota, Metazoa, Chordata, Actinopteri, Labriformes, Labridae.